RNAcentral lists this ribosomal RNA (460 nucleotides) under uncultured bacterium. Its description in RNAcentral is "partial 16S ribosomal RNA". It matches the Rfam family "Bacterial small subunit ribosomal RNA", at positions 338 to 795 of the family's 1533-position model. The record is from RNAcentral.
CCUACGGGUGGCAGCAGUGAGGAAUAUUGGUCAAUGGGCGGGAGCCUGAACCAGCCAAGCCGCGUGAAGGAAGAAGGCGCCAAGCGUCGUAAACUUCUUUUGUCGGGGAAUAAAGGUAUCCACGUGUGGAUAUUUGCAUGUACCCUAUGAAUAAGCAUCGGCUAACUCCGUGCCAGCAGCCGCGGUAAUACGGAGGAUGCGAGCGUUAUCCGGAUUUAUUGGGUUUAAAGGGUGCGUAGGUUGUUUUUUAAGUCAGCGGUGAAAGUUUGUGGCUCAACCAUAAAAUUGCCGUUGAAACUGGAAGACUUGAGUGUGUUUGAGGUAGGCGGAAUGCGUGGUGUAGCGGUGAAAUGCAUAGAUAUCACGCAGAACUCCGAUUGCGAAGGCAGCUUACUAAGCCAUAACUGACACUGAAGCACGAAAGCGUGGGGAUCAAACAGGAUUAGAUACCCGAAUAGUC